UGGGUAACCUGCCCAAGAGAUCGGGAUAACACCUGGAAACAGAUGCUAAUACCGGAUAACAACAGAUGAUGCCUAUCAACUGUUUAAAAGAUGGUUCUGCUAUCACUCUUGGAUGGACCUGCGGUGCAUUAGCUAGUUGGUAAGGUAACGGCCUACCAAGGCGAUGAUGCAUAGCCGAGUUGAGAGACUGAUCGGCCACAUUGGGACUGAGACACGGCCCAAACUCCUACGGAGGCAGCAGGA
This 243-nucleotide ribosomal RNA is filed under the name uncultured Lactobacillus sp. RNAcentral describes it as "partial 16S ribosomal RNA". It matches the Rfam family "Bacterial small subunit ribosomal RNA", at positions 118 to 354 of the family's 1533-position model. Lineage: Bacteria; Bacillati; Bacillota; Bacilli; Lactobacillales; Lactobacillaceae. The record is from RNAcentral.